This 77-nucleotide microRNA precursor is filed under the name Myotis brandtii (Brandt's bat). RNAcentral's name for it is "mir-9193 microRNA precursor family". It matches the Rfam family "mir-9193 microRNA precursor family". The record is from Rfam by way of RNAcentral. Lineage: Eukaryota; Metazoa; Chordata; Mammalia; Chiroptera; Vespertilionidae.
GAUGGGGGAGAGGGCAGGUUCCUCAGCCCGGAUUGUGAGAGGGCACAGGCCAGGCCGAGGGACCCCACUGGUGCACA